Gadus morhua (Atlantic cod) is the source of this 439-nucleotide long non-coding RNA. RefSeq lists it as uncharacterized. The record is from RefSeq and is a predicted model, not a curated record. Lineage: Eukaryota; Metazoa; Chordata; Actinopteri; Gadiformes; Gadidae. The transcript has 2 exons.
CAUGGGCAACGGUGGAGCGAUGUAUAGGCCUACUCAAGGGCAGGUGGAUGUCCAUCGGGUCAGCGGGGGGAACGUUGCUCUACAGCCCAGAAAAGACAUGCAAUAUUAUAUUAGCAUGAGGGGUUCUGCAUAAUAUUGCGCUGGCAAAUGGGGUGCCAUUUGCCGACCUGCAGCCAGAUGACCCGAUGCCCAGAGAUCCCUGGCCACAGGCGCCACAUGCUCGAGCUCUACGACGAAGGGAGGAUUUAAUUCGGCUCUUCUAAUAUCUAAGGGACCUCUGCAAGACCGAUGAAGGCAGACCAGCAAUUCGGCCAGACACGGGUUCCGAGCUGCUUCGGCGGCGGCGGCCCUUCCGUUUCUUCAACUGGGCUUGGCUCUGUUCCCAUUUUGGAUGAACCUGCUUGCAUUUCAUCUUUAAAAAUAAAAAGCAAUCGUGAGA